This 997-nucleotide ribosomal RNA is filed under the name hot springs metagenome. Its description in RNAcentral is "bacterial LSU rRNA". It matches the Rfam family "Archaeal large subunit ribosomal RNA", at positions 2016 to 2987 of the family's 2987-position model. The record is from RNAcentral.
ACUCUGACCCUCUUAAGGUAGCCAAAUGCCUUGCCGGGUAAGUUCCGGCGUGCAUGAAUGGAUCAACGAGGUCCCCACUGUCCCGGCCCGGGGCCCGGCGAACCCACCUCCAGGUGCACAGUCCUGGGACCCCCGACGGGGCGAGAAGUCCCUAUGGAGCUUCACAGCAGCCUGUCGUUGCGGGGGGGCGGGGGGUGCAGAGCGUAGGUGGGAGCGAUGAAACGGGGUCUCCGGGCCCCGUGGAUGCGACCCUGGAACACCACCCACUCUCCGCCCCUCCGCUUACCCGCCGCAAGGCGGGGACAGCGGCAGGCGGGCUGUUCGGCUGGGGCGGCACACCCCUGAAAAGAUAUCGGGGGUGCCCAAAGCUCGGCUCAGGCGGGUCAGAAAUCCGCCGUAGAGUGUAAGGGCAAAAGCCGGGCUGACUGGGCCCUUGAACGCAAGGGGCCCAGGCGGGAAACCGGGGCCUAGAGAACGCUCGUGCCCCCACCAGUGGGGGCCGGGCAUGACAGAAAAGUUACCCUAGGAAUAACCGGCUCGUCGCGGGUGAGAGUCCCCAUCGACCCCGCGGUUUGGUACCCAGACGUCGUCUCUUCCCAUCCUGGCGGUGCAGCAGCCGCCAAGGGUGGGGCUGCCCGCCCAUUAAAGGGGAACGUGAGAUGGGUUCAGACCGUCGCGAGACAGGUCGGUCUCUACCUGUCGGGGGCGCUGGCCGCCUGAGGGGAAGGUGCCCUCAGUACGAGAGGAACGGGGCGCCGCGGCCUCUAGUGUACCGGUUGUCCGGCAGGGCACUGCCGGGCAGCCACGCCGUAGGGGAUAACCGCUGAACGCAUCUAAGCGGGAAGCCCUCCCCGAGACGAGGCGGCCGUUGCCCUGGGGGCAACCCCGGGGCACGAGGGCUCCCGUAGAAGACGGGGUUGAUGGGGGGGCGGUGUAACCCCCGAGGGUCUCCCCGAGGGGGGAGCCGGCCCCUCCCAAUCGCCCGAGCGUGCGGGGC